Molecule: long non-coding RNA, 871 nt
Filed under: Vulpes vulpes (red fox)
Lineage: Eukaryota; Metazoa; Chordata; Mammalia; Carnivora; Canidae
Description: lncRNA (ENSVVUG00000024435.1)
Source: RNAcentral
GCCCUGCUGCCCUGUAGUCCUGCUGGGGUGCCAUACCUGUUGCCCUGACGCCCUGCAAGAUCUGCAGCCCUGCCUCCCUGCUGCCCUGUAGCAUUGCUGCCCUGCUGCCCUGCUGCUCUUCUGCCCUGCAACCCUGCCUACCUACUGCCUUGCAUCCCUGCCGCACUGUGAGGCUUGUAGCAUUGCCGCCCUACACCCUGAACCCUGCAGCCCUGGGAGGCCUGUAGCCCUGCAGCCCUGCUGCUCUUCAGCCCUUCUGCCCUGCUGUCCUGCAUCCCUGAUGCCCUGUUGCCAUGCAGCCCUCCGAGGCCUGCCACCCUUCCACCCUGCUGCCCUACCUCCCUGCAGCCCUGCCGCCCUGGUAGGCCUACAGCCAUGCCGCCCUGCUGCCUGGCCACUCAGUGACCCUGAGAGGCCUGCAGCCCUGCCGCAAUGCUUCCCUGCUGCCUUGCCACCCUGCUACCCUGCAGCCCUUCCAGCAUGCUUCUCUGCAGCCCUACUGCCCUGCUGCCCUGCAGCCCUGCUGCCCUGCAAGGCCUGCAGCCCGGUCACCAGUGUCACCCACCCGGCCUUUAAGGUUUCUGAGCAGACACUGGACCCUGACCUGACUGGACGCUGCCUCCUCCGGCUCCCUCUCACUUACAGUAGUAGACAUCAUAGUCACUAUGAUGUGACAAGUGGUUCCCCUGAGGCCAGAGGGACAGCAAUCAACAGAGGGACAGCCUGGGCUACUACUCUCACAGUUGAUAUCGAAGCAUUGUGCACAGAAAACAACGCCCAAGAUAAAUCAUUAGGAAAAGAAGAAGCAUCCUCAAGACAGGGAAAGAAGUACCUUCCAGAAAAUGCCUAUGGAAUAGCUCACCUGAUUUAG